RNAcentral lists this small RNA (506 nucleotides) under Arabidopsis thaliana (thale cress). Its description in RNAcentral is "ATSL058120". The stretch from base 125 to 225 matches the Rfam family "MIR5649 microRNA precursor family". The record is from RNAcentral. Lineage: Eukaryota; Viridiplantae; Streptophyta; Magnoliopsida; Brassicales; Brassicaceae.
AUCUAAUUAUUACUAACUGAUGCAUUCUUGUUUUGACAUAUGGCAUAAAUCUCAAAUCCUACUCUUUUAUUUCUUUUUUAUUUCAUACAUAUUUAAAUGUUAGGUUAAGAAUGAAUCAAGAUGAUUCAUAUUAUAGUAACCAACAUAUUCAAUACUUUCAAAUGAAGAAAAAUAAUUGGCAUCUUCAUUUGAAAGUAUUGAAUAUGUUGGUUACUAUAAUAUGAAUUCAUUCUUAACCUAACAUUUAAACAAAUAACAAAAAUUGAUAGUUAUCUAGGAAAGAGAAAAUUUAAAUACAAGAAUAUGACUGGUCACUGGACGCAAUCGUUUUAUACAAAAAUAUAAUAUUGUGAAUGUAAACAACUUUUCAAAUUAUAAUAUCAAACUAAAAUUUAAAUUUAAAAAAUGUAUUACUAAAAUUUAUGGUAAAAAAUAAUUAGAAUCUCAUUAGGAAAAUAAUGGAGUCUUCAAAAAUCUUGAAUGGUCUACAGAUUAAAAGAAUCAAA